Molecule: transfer RNA, 97 nt
Filed under: Nostoc sp. FACHB-145
Lineage: Bacteria; Bacillati; Cyanobacteriota; Cyanophyceae; Nostocales; Nostocaceae
Also listed under: 1 other name
Description: tRNA-Lys
Rfam family: tRNA
About the family: Transfer RNA (tRNA) molecules are approximately 80 nucleotides in length. Their secondary structure includes four short double-helical elements and three loops (D, anti-codon, and T loops).
Source: RNAcentral
GGGCGUUUGGCAGAACGGUUAUGCUCCUGACUCUUAAUCAGGCUGACACAGGUACCCUGCGGGAACGCUGCGCGAACGACCCCUGUAGCGCCCACCA